RNAcentral lists this small RNA (119 nucleotides) under Arabidopsis thaliana (thale cress). Its description in RNAcentral is "ATSL193170". Lineage: Eukaryota; Viridiplantae; Streptophyta; Magnoliopsida; Brassicales; Brassicaceae. The record is from RNAcentral.
AAGUUAGAGAUUAUAUAUGAAGAGUCACCUUUGAAAGCAGAUACGUUAUCAUCACUGUAAAGGAGUAGCCCCAAACGGGUAUCAAUACUAGUCUUCACAAAGUAAUUAAGUGUUUUUGA